Molecule: ribosomal RNA, 465 nt
Filed under: uncultured bacterium
Lineage: Bacteria
Description: bacterial SSU rRNA
Rfam family: Bacterial small subunit ribosomal RNA
Source: RNAcentral
AUUGAACGCUGGCGGCAUGCCUUACACAUGCAAGUCGAACGGUAACGGGCCUUCGGGUGCCGACGAGUGGCGAACGGGUGAGUAAUGUAUCGGAACGUACCUUUCAGUGGGGGAUAACGUAGCGAAAGUUACGCUAAUACCGCAUAUUCUGUGAGCAGGAAAGCAGGGGAUCGCAAGACCUUGCGCUGAUUGAGCGGCCGAUAUCAGAUUAGCUAGUUGGUGAGGUAAAGGCUCACCAAGGCGACGAUCUGUAGCGGGUCUGAGAGGAUGAUCCGCCACACUGGAACUGAGACACGGUCCAGACUCCUACGGGAGGCAGCAGUGGGGAAUUUUGGACAAUGGGGGCAACCCUGAUCCAGCCAUGCCGCGUGAGUGAAGAAGGCCUUCGGGUUGUAAAGCGUCUUUCGGCCGGGAAGAAAUCGUAUGGGUUAAUACCCUGUGCGGAUGACGGUACCGGCAUAAGAA